UAGCUUGCUAGAAGGCUGGCGAGUGGCGAACGGGUGAGUAACGCGUAGGAAUAUACCUCAAAGAGGGGGACAACGUUGGGGAAACUCAAGCCAAUACCGCAUAAGCUCCGAGGAGUGAAGCUGGGGACCGCAAGGCCUGGCGCUUUGAGAAUAGCCUGCGUCCGAUUAGCUAGUUGGUGGGUAAAGGCCUACCAAGGCGAUGAUCGGUAGCUGGUCUGAGAGGAUGAUCAGCCACACUGGGACUGAGACACGGCCCAGACUCC
Molecule: ribosomal RNA, 263 nt
Filed under: unidentified marine bacterioplankton
Lineage: Bacteria
Description: partial 16S ribosomal RNA
Rfam family: Bacterial small subunit ribosomal RNA
Source: RNAcentral